RNAcentral lists this ribosomal RNA (1529 nucleotides) under Bacteroides fragilis. Its description in RNAcentral is "bacterial SSU rRNA". It matches the Rfam family "Bacterial small subunit ribosomal RNA". Lineage: Bacteria; Pseudomonadati; Bacteroidota; Bacteroidia; Bacteroidales; Bacteroidaceae. The record is from RNAcentral.
ACAAUGAAGAGUUUGAUCCUGGCUCAGGAUGAACGCUAGCUACAGGCUUAACACAUGCAAGUCGAGGGGCAUCAGGAAGAAAGCUUGCUUUCUUUGCUGGCGACCGGCGCACGGGUGAGUAACACGUAUCCAACCUGCCCUUUACUCGGGGAUAGCCUUUCGAAAGAAAGAUUAAUACCCGAUAGCAUAAUGAUUCCGCAUGGUUUCAUUAUUAAAGGAUUCCGGUAAAGGAUGGGGAUGCGUUCCAUUAGGUUGUUGGUGAGGUAACGGCUCACCAAGCCUUCGAUGGAUAGGGGUUCUGAGAGGAAGGUCCCCCACAUUGGAACUGAGACACGGUCCAAACUCCUACGGGAGGCAGCAGUGAGGAAUAUUGGUCAAUGGGCGCUAGCCUGAACCAGCCAAGUAGCGUGAAGGAUGAAGGCUCUAUGGGUCGUAAACUUCUUUUAUAUAAGAAUAAAGUGCAGUAUGUAUACUGUUUUGUAUGUAUUAUAUGAAUAAGGAUCGGCUAACUCCGUGCCAGCAGCCGCGGUAAUACGGAGGAUCCGAGCGUUAUCCGGAUUUAUUGGGUUUAAAGGGAGCGUAGGUGGACUGGUAAGUCAGUUGUGAAAGUUUGCGGCUCAACCGUAAAAUUGCAGUUGAUACUGUCAGUCUUGAGUACAGUAGAGGUGGGCGGAAUUCGUGGUGUAGCGGUGAAAUGCUUAGAUAUCACGAAGAACUCCGAUUGCGAAGGCAGCUCACUGGACUGCAACUGACACUGAUGCUCGAAAGUGUGGGUAUCAAACAGGAUUAGAUACCCUGGUAGUCCACACAGUAAACGAUGAAUACUCGCUGUUUGCGAUAUACAGUAAGCGGCCAAGCGAAAGCAUUAAGUAUUCCACCUGGGGAGUACGCCGGCAACGGUGAAACUCAAAGGAAUUGACGGGGGCCCGCACAAGCGGAGGAACAUGUGGUUUAAUUCGAUGAUACGCGAGGAACCUUACCCGGGCUUAAAUUGCAGUGGAAUGAUGUGGAAACAUGUCAGUGAGCAAUCACCGCUGUGAAGGUGCUGCAUGGUUGUCGUCAGCUCGUGCCGUGAGGUGUCGGCUUAAGUGCCAUAACGAGCGCAACCCUUAUCUUUAGUUACUAACAGGUCAUGCUGAGGACUCUAGAGAGACUGCCGUCGUAAGAUGUGAGGAAGGUGGGGAUGACGUCAAAUCAGCACGGCCCUUACGUCCGGGGCUACACACGUGUUACAAUGGGGGGUACAGAAGGCAGCUAGCGGGUGACCGUAUGCUAAUCCCAAAAUCCUCUCUCAGUUCGGAUCGAAGUCUGCAACCCGACUUCGUGAAGCUGGAUUCGCUAGUAAUCGCGCAUCAGCCACGGCGCGGUGAAUACGUUCCCGGGCCUUGUACACACCGCCCGUCAAGCCAUGGGAGCCGGGGGUACCUGAAGUACGUAACCGCAAGGAUCGUCCUAGGGUAAAACUGGUGACUGGGGCUAAGUCGUAACAAGGUAGCCGUACCGGAAGGUGCGGCUGGAACACCUCCUUU